UACGAAGGGGGCUAGCGUUGCUCGGAAUCACUGGGCGUAAAGGGUGCGUAGGCGGGUCUUUAAGUCAGGGGUGAAAUCCUGGAGCUCAACUCCAGAACUGCCUUUGAUACUGAGGAUCUUGAGUUCGGGAGAGGUGAGUGGAACUGCGAGUGUAGAGGUGAAAUUCGUAGAUAUUCGCAAGAACACCAGUGGCGAAGGCGGCUCACUGGCCCGAUACUGACGCUGAGGCACGAAAGCGUGGGGAUCAAACAGGG
RNAcentral lists this ribosomal RNA (254 nucleotides) under uncultured bacterium. RNAcentral's name for it is "partial 16S ribosomal RNA". It matches the Rfam family "Bacterial small subunit ribosomal RNA", at positions 524 to 777 of the family's 1533-position model. The record is from RNAcentral.